Molecule: ribosomal RNA, 253 nt
Filed under: uncultured bacterium
Lineage: Bacteria
Description: partial 16S ribosomal RNA
Rfam family: Bacterial small subunit ribosomal RNA
Source: RNAcentral
AACGUAGGAGGCAAGCGUUAUCCGGAGUUACUGGGCGUAAAGCGCGUGUAGGUGGAUUGGUAAGUUACUUAUAAAAGCUCCUGGCUAAACUAGGAGAGGUUGGGUGAUACUGCCAGUCUUGAAUAGAGGAGAGGUUGACGGAAUUCCGCGUGUAGUGGUGAAAUUCGUAGAUAUUCGCAAGAACACCAGUGGCGAAGGCGGCUCACUGGCCCGGUACUGACGCUGAGGUGCGAAAGCGUGGGGAGCAAACAGG